GACGAACGCUGGCGGCGUGCCUAAUACAUGCAAGUCGAACGCUGAAGGAGGAGCUUGCUUCUCUGGAUGAGUUGCGAACGGGUGAGUAACGCGUAGGUAACCUGCCUGGUAGCGGGGGAUAACUAUUGGAAACGAUAGCUAAUACCGCAUAAGAGUAGAUGUUGCAUGACAUUUGCUUAAAAGGUGCAAUUGCAUCACUACCAGAUGGACCUGCGUUGUAUUAGCUAGUUGGUGGGGUAUCGGCUCACCAUGGCGACGAUACAUAGCCGACCGGAGAGGGUGAUCGGCCGCACUGGGACGGAGACACGGCCCAGUCGGCUUCAGGAAGCAGCAGGAGGGAAACUGCGGCAAUGGACGGAAGACUGACCGAGAUACGCCGCGGGAGUGAAGAAGGUCGUCGGGUCGGAAAGCUCGGUUGUAGGGGUAGAACGAGUGUGAGAGUGGAAAGUACACACUGUGACGGUAACUGACCAGAAAGGAACGGCUAACUACGUG
RNAcentral lists this ribosomal RNA (495 nucleotides) under uncultured bacterium. Its description in RNAcentral is "partial 16S ribosomal RNA". It matches the Rfam family "Bacterial small subunit ribosomal RNA", at positions 28 to 507 of the family's 1533-position model. The record is from RNAcentral.